Molecule: ribosomal RNA, 473 nt
Filed under: uncultured bacterium
Lineage: Bacteria
Description: SSU rRNA
Rfam family: Bacterial small subunit ribosomal RNA
Source: RNAcentral
AGAGCGAACGCUGGCGGCAGGCUUAACACAUGCAAGUCGAGCGGCCGUAGCAAUACGGCAGUGGCAGACGGGUGAGUAACACGUGGGAAUGUACCUCUCGGUUCGGAAUAACUCAGGGAAACUUGAGCUAAUACCGGAUACGCCCUUACUGGGAAAGAUUUAUCGCCGAGAGAUCAGCCCGCGUCCGAUUAGCUAGUUGGUGGGGUAAUGGCCCACCAAGGCGACGAUCGGUAGCUGGUCUGAGAGGAUGAUCAGCCACACUGGGACUGAGACACGGCCCAGACUCCUACGGGAGGCAGCAGUGGGGAAUCUUGCGCAAUGCGCGAAAGCGUGACGCAGCAACGCCGCGUGAGGGAAGAAGGCCUUCGGUUGUAAACCUCUUUCAGAAGGGACGAAGGGUCGGCCGCGAAGUAGCGAGCCGGCGUUGACGGUACCUUCAGAAGAAGCCCGGCUAACUACGUGCCAGCAGCCGC